Molecule: non-coding RNA, 157 nt
Filed under: Actinomycetota bacterium
Lineage: Bacteria; Bacillati; Actinomycetota
Description: 6S RNA
Rfam family: 6S / SsrS RNA
About the family: E. coli 6S RNA was the first non coding RNA to be sequenced, but its function was unknown until recently. It consists of 184 nucleotides that fold into an extended hairpin structure with a large single-stranded internal bulge.
Source: RNAcentral
UUCGCUCGACCCUGUGCGUGGCCCGGCCUUAACGUGAACCAACACUCACGCGAAGGGAGCCGGCGUCGGGGAUAGGCGUUGCCGACGCCCCGCACGGCACCCACCUGGCAGAGCCAGGUUCGCAACGGCCGGACUUCAUCGGCAGGGUGGAGCACCU